RNAcentral lists this transfer RNA (75 nucleotides) under bacterium. RNAcentral describes it as "tRNA-Lys". It matches the Rfam family "tRNA". From Rfam's summary of the family: Transfer RNA (tRNA) molecules are approximately 80 nucleotides in length. Their secondary structure includes four short double-helical elements and three loops (D, anti-codon, and T loops). The record is from RNAcentral.
GCCCCGCUAGCUCAAUGGUAGAGCAGCUGCCUCUUAAGCAGUUGGUUGGAGGUUCGAGUCCUCCGCGGGGCACCA